AGAGUUUGAUCAUGGCUCAGGACGAACGCUGGCGGCGUGCUUAACACAUGCAAGUUGAACGGGGGAUAUUGAUUUCGGUUAAUAUCUUAGUAGCGGACGGGUGAGUAACGCGUGAGCAACCUACCUUUGUGAGGGGGACAACAGCUGGAAACGGCUGCUAAUACCGCAUAAGGCCACGACCUCGAUUGAGGAUGUGGUAAAAGAUUUAUCGCACAAAGAUGGGCUCGCGUCCCAUUAGCUAGUUGGUGAGGUAACGGCCCACCAAGGCUUCGAUGGGUAGCCGACCUGAGAGGGUGAUCGGCCACACUGGAACUGAGACACGGUCCAGACUCCUACGGGAGGCAGCAGUGGGGAAUAUUGGGCAAUGGGCGCAAGCCUGACCCAGCAACGCCGCGUGAGGGAAGAAGGUCUUCGGAUUGUAAACCUCUGUCCUUAGGGACGAAAAAAAUGACGGUACCUAAGGAGGAAGCUCCGGCUAACUACGUGCCAGCAGCCGCGGUAAUACGUAGGGAGCAAGCGUUGUCCGGAAUUACUGGGCGUAAAGGGUGCGUAGGUGGCUUGGCAAGUCAGAUGUGAAAUCCCCCGGGCUUAACUCGGGUGCUGCAUUUGAAACUGCUGAGCUUGAGUGCAGGAGAGGAAAGCGGAAUUCCUAGUGUAGCGGUGAAAUGCAGAUAUUAGGAGGAACACCAGUGGCGAAGGCGGCUUUCUGGACUGUAACUGACACUGAGGCACGAAAGCGUGGGGAGCAAACAGGAUUAGAUACCCUAGUAGUCC
RNAcentral lists this ribosomal RNA (774 nucleotides) under uncultured bacterium. Its description in RNAcentral is "bacterial SSU rRNA". It matches the Rfam family "Bacterial small subunit ribosomal RNA", at positions 8 to 796 of the family's 1533-position model. The record is from RNAcentral.